This 481-nucleotide ribosomal RNA is filed under the name uncultured Clostridium sp. Its description in RNAcentral is "bacterial SSU rRNA". It matches the Rfam family "Bacterial small subunit ribosomal RNA", at positions 907 to 1392 of the family's 1533-position model. The record is from RNAcentral. Lineage: Bacteria; Bacillati; Bacillota; Clostridia; Eubacteriales; Clostridiaceae.
GAAUUGACGGGGGCCCGCACAAGCAGUGGAGUAUGUGGUUUAAUUCGAAGCAACGCGAAGAACCUUACCAGGUCUUGACAUCCACCGAAUCCGGAAGAGAUUCCGGAGUGCCCUUCGGGGAACGGUGAGACAGGUGGUGCAUGGUUGUCGUCAGCUCGUGUCGUGAGAUGUUGGGUUAAGUCCCGCAACGAGCGCAACCCUCGUUAAUAGUUGCUACGCAAGAGCACUCUAUUAAGACUGCCGUUGAUAAAACGGAGGAAGGUGGGGAUGACGUCAAAUCAUCAUGCCCCUUAUGAUCUGGGCUACACACGUGCUACAAUGGCCGUUAACAGAGGGAAGCAAUACCGCGAGGUGGAGCCAAACCCUAAAAGCGGUCUCAGUUCAGAUUGCAGGCUGCAACCCGCCUGCAUGAAGACGGAAUUGCUAGUAAUCGCGGAUCAGCAUGCCGCGGUGAAUACGUUCCCGGGCCUUGUACACACCG